Molecule: ribozyme, 72 nt
Filed under: unclassified sequences
Description: pistol ribozyme
Rfam family: Pistol ribozyme
Source: RNAcentral
AGUGGUUGCAGCCACGAUAAACAGGGCUUUAAGCUGCAAGCGUUGAUCGCCGUACCCGGCGGUCAGGUAGUC